This 71-nucleotide transfer RNA is filed under the name Marmota monax (woodchuck). RNAcentral's name for it is "tRNA.Ala". It matches the Rfam family "tRNA". Rfam says of the family: Transfer RNA (tRNA) molecules are approximately 80 nucleotides in length. Their secondary structure includes four short double-helical elements and three loops (D, anti-codon, and T loops). Lineage: Eukaryota; Metazoa; Chordata; Mammalia; Rodentia; Sciuridae. The record is from RNAcentral.
GAGGUUGUGGCUCAGUGGUACAGCACUCUCCUGGCAUGGGUGAGGCACUGGGUUCAAACCUCAGCACCACA